UCCCAAAUGCAAUUUAAUAUCUCUUAUGCAAACUUUUUUUUUAAAAAAUAUAUCAAAAAUUAACAUUCAAAUUUAAAAAUGUUAAUUUUUCCUUUGUUAAUUUUUUUGGGUUUCGGAAAAUAACCCUCUUUCUUUAAUUAAAGCGAAAAUUAUAUAAAAAAUUAUAUAUUUUUGUUUUUUUUGAAAGGUAGCCGUUUUUUUAAUUAAAAGUGAAAAAAAAAAAUUCGUGUUAGCCGUUUGAAAAGUAGCCGUUUCUGUUUUGGUUUUCGGGAAGUAGUCGUUGUUAGAUUUCCUUUUUAUCUAUAAAAAGUCCACUUCCAACUAUCUCACAUCAGAUAAUCCCAUUCUCCUUUCCAUCAAGAAAAUAAUAAUAAUAAUAAUAAUAAUCAGUUUCCGAACCAUGGAGCCGGAGAGCAACUUCCCGUCCCCUUCUUCUCCGUCGCUCAUAUCCUAAUACAACCCAUAGAAAACAAGAUCAUGUUUGUAAUCGGGAGCUACAUCAUGUACCACGACGACGAAGCUAUCGGCCGUGAUUCUGAUUCCCAAAGUAAACGCCGUAACCCUUUCUCUCAGCCGUAAGGCUUAUCUGGAUAUGGGUUUUUAAAGAAGAAGCUGUUGUCGACCUCUCUUCUGCAUAUCAUACAAGUUAUGUUACAGACUUAUAUUGCGCUGAAAUUAGGACUUCAUUUGAUGCUCACCGUGGCCAAUGAACAUGUAAUGUUGCCAAUACAUGAUGUGUUAUUAAUUUUAUUAUCUGAAGAACUCCUGCCGUAAAUGAUAUGUGUGAUCUUGAUGAUACUA
Brassica napus (rape) is the source of this 801-nucleotide long non-coding RNA. RefSeq lists it as uncharacterized. The transcript has 2 exons. The record is from RefSeq and is a predicted model, not a curated record. NCBI's taxonomy places the organism in Eukaryota, Viridiplantae, Streptophyta, Magnoliopsida, Brassicales, Brassicaceae.